GGAUUAGAUACCCUGGUAGUCCACGCCGUAAACGAUGUCUACUAGUUGUCGGUGGUCUUGUACUGCUGGUAACGCAGCUAACGCGAUAAGUAGACCGCCUGGGGAGUACGGCCGCAAGGUUAAAACUCAAAUGAAUUGACGGGGGCCCGCACAAGCGGUGGAGCAUGUGGUUUAAUUCGAAGCAACGCGAAGAACCUUACCUGGCCUUGACAUCCUGCGAACUUUCUAGAGAUAGAUUGGUGCCUUCGGGAGCGCAGAGACAGGUGCUGCAUGGCUGUCGUCCGUGUCGCUGUCU
RNAcentral lists this ribosomal RNA (295 nucleotides) under uncultured bacterium. RNAcentral's name for it is "partial 16S ribosomal RNA". It matches the Rfam family "Bacterial small subunit ribosomal RNA", at positions 775 to 1070 of the family's 1533-position model. The record is from RNAcentral.